Molecule: microRNA precursor, 95 nt
Filed under: Marmota monax (woodchuck)
Lineage: Eukaryota; Metazoa; Chordata; Mammalia; Rodentia; Sciuridae
Source: RNAcentral
AGUGGAAUAGCUAGAUAGUAUGGUAUGUUUAUUUUUGAGGAAGCUCCAUACUGUUUUCCAUAAAGACUGUACUCAUUUACAUUUCCAUCAGCAGU